CAUUUUUUUUUUCUUUAAGUAGGCAUAAUAAUCUCUUUAAACAGACAGUGGAAAAUGAAACGUUUGUAAAUUGAUAACAGUGAUUCACCUUCCCAUCCCCGCGCGUUUCCCCCCCUAUUUUAUUAACAGUAAUUGUUACUGAACACCAUUAUAACAAAAAACAAACAAAGCAAUCAUCACAGUGAUUGUAUGCUGUAACAAUGAUGAACAGGAAUGUUUACCAAAAUAUAUUUAUACCUAUAAAUAAAUACCUAGCAUUACAUACAUAUGUAUACACAUAUAUGUAAAAUGAAUAAUAAAGGAUUUUUUUUUUAUAAAAGCUUUUGAUUUAAAUGACAAAUCACUCAUUGCAAACAAAGCCAGUAUAUUUAGAUUUUCUAACACGUAGAACUGUGGUGCCGAAAUGCAUUUGUAAUUAAUGCUAAGAGAUUGCUUCUGAUCGGCUACAGUGUAGUAAAGUGGAAUUGAGGACACAAGCAUAUUUUCCUUGGUUGGUUGGUUGUACAGUAAGAAAUUAUUGUAUGCUAUAUUUAAAGCAAACCUGGCAAAUAUUAAAAAGAGGAGGAGGGUUGUAAAAACAAACAAACAAAUGCCUGUCCAAUGUAUAAUUGUAAAUAAUAAGGUAAAAAAAAAAAAGGUAAGGUUAUCUCUUUCUAUAAAGUACAGUAUAUGCAGCAAAUGUACAUUGGGGGGAAAAAAUAUAUAUAUAUAUAUAUCAAUUGAGUAACUUUAUGAAAUCCUUUGUGAUGUCACUGUGUAAUAGUUGAGUAGCACAAUAUGCUAAUUAACAAUAGACUAUUUAGACACUUUAACAUAACAGCCUAGUUUUACUGUGUGGGGUGGCACGGUGUUUGUAAAAUGGGAAGGGUCGUACUUUGGCCCUUUUACUGUGUGGGAUGGCAUGGUGCUUGUAAUAUGGGAAGGGUCGUACUUUGGCCCUUUUACUGUGUGGGGUGGUAUGGUGUUUGCAAAAUGGGGAGGGUCGUACUUUGUUUUUUUACUGUGGGGGUGGCAUGGCGUUUGUAAAAUGUGGAGGGUCCUGCUUUGGCCCUUUUACUGUGUGGGGUGGCAUGGUGCGUGUAAAAUGGCAAUGGCCCUCCAGGAGCUACUUUAAUUUCCCAGUGCAGACAUUUCUAUCGUAGAAAAUGGGGUGAUUAUAACGUAACAUAGAACAUUCUGAAAAAGGUUUUUUUUUUGCAGUAUAUACUUAUUUACUAUACAGUUACCUUUGGGAAACAAACAUUCUAUGCAUGAAUGGCUCACAUUAAUACCAAGUCUCUUGACACAUUCUUGGUCUAAAUAGGAGUGCAGCAAUUAAUGAAAUGAGAGUGGUAAGAUGGGCAUGGGAAUGGUGGGGAUUGAUUGGUAUGAUAUUAGGAAAAAAAACUGUAAUUAGGGGCAUAACAAGAGAAGCCCAAUGUUGUUCUAAAAAGAGGAGGCAAACAGAACAAUUUACAGAUUUCCCCUAUUCAGCUGCUUAGUGAUGGUAAAGCCAUUAUGAGUAUCUGUGUAUUCAAUUCCAACAAAGAACUUCUAAUAAGCAAGCUGCCUUGAGAACGCUGGUUGGAGGGCAGGAGCUGAUGUAAUCAGCCAUAACAUUGUGACUGUGUCUGUACUGGGUUUAAGGCUGGUAGCAGUGGCAUUCCAAAUCACUUUCUCACAUCUAUAGUGUGGUAAAAAAAAAACAUGAUAAUGUGCCUUUCUAAAAAUAAUAACAUUAAUAAUAAUAUUAACUAUAAUCAUAUGGACCAGCUAGGUGGCUAGUGGGGAAAAAAGGAAAGAGUGAAAAGAUGUAUAUAUUGAUGGGUCAUUUAAGUGUCUAGUAAAUAAAAACAACAAUUUCAAGUGCAAUUGGUGUGAGUCUUCAAAACAAAAGGAAUAUAAAAGCUGAAAUCAUUACCUAAUAAAAGUAUAAACAAAAUUUUACAACAAAAACCCCCUUUUUAAUGUCAGGCAUUUAAAAAAAAAAAAAAAAAAAUUCAAUCAAUCACAGAUUUCAGUCAAACUGCUUUGAAAAUCAUUAUGUUUUAAGUAGUUUGGGGUUUUGUUUGGACCUCGUAUUUAUCAGUUUUGGCACCAGUUUUAAAACUUGUUAGAAAGAUGAUCCAGAAGUAAAGUGAGCAGCCAAUCUUUGAGUAGGGCCUAGAUGCAUGCUGGGAAUAUCUCCUGAGCACAUGAGAAAAAACUGAUGCAUACCUAUAAUUUAAAAUAGUUAGUAUGUCCCUGUCCCCCAGUUUACUCUCUUUCUGACAUAAAAAGACUAACAGGGUUAUUCACUAAAGGUAGAAUUUUCGGGUAGUCAAAGUAAGUUCUGAAUUUUAGGACAAUAGCUGAACUAAAAAAAAAAAAAGACAAAAAAAAAAUUAAAUAAAAGUCAGCUAUGUUUCCAGUUUAUUUUCUUUGGCCCUAAAUUUCAAAUUUACUGUGAAUUCAUGCCAAUUCUGCCCUUACUGAAUAACCCCAUAUAUAAAUAAACCUCUGUACUAUUUGAACCAAUGUUAAAUUUUCGAGGGAAAAAUGCAAAGGUUUGCAAUAAUCUUAAAAGCUGCUAAAAUGGCAAAUGUCCCCAAACAAUCAAUUGUUUGCAGUGGUUUGUUGAAAUUAUUGAUAAAACUUGUUUCAACUUAUUUUCUGUAUGAAGAGUGAGUUACAGCUGAUUUCUUUAAAUCAGUACUUUACAUGCCUUUGCUUGUAAAUGUAACAUGAGAAAUGAUUUUUUUUUUUAAAAAGUGCAAAUUUAUAUAGAUUUAUGUUAGUGAAAAUAAUUUAAGUUUUCUGCAUGUUGAAUAAUAAAAUGGAAAAUGUCAUUGACAAUUUUCAUUUACCGAUUAUCAACGCAUUGCCAACAAUCCCAAAAUGUCUUCAUGCAAAAACACUUAAAACAAUUGUAAUUUUUAGAUUUUCUUUUUUUUUUUUUUUUUUACACAUGAUAGUCUUUUUUUACAAAUACUGAAUAUUAGAUUCAAAGUCACUUCAACUUUACAGUAAUUAAAGGAAUAUAUAAAAAGGUCAAUAUAUUGCUUUAUUUUCUUCUGUAUAGUACAGCAAUUAAGACUUGCAUUAUUCAUCUCUUGUGCUGAGAAAGCAGCAAUGAUCAGUAUGCAUCUAGUCUGCUUGUUUGAUUGGCUGUUAAUUCUUUGUAAUUUGUUGUAUAGCUAAUGGGGGGAAAAAAAGUUUAAGACAAUAGGGAAUUCUACCCUUGCCUUUAAUUCCUAUGUAAAAGGAGUUACACUGCAGUUAGGCUAAAAUCAAAUAUUCACUUUAGCGUAAAUAAGUUGAUAUUUAAUGUUCUCCAGUUUAACGUAUGGUUUUAUGAAGUGAAGGUAUACUUUAUGAAAAUGAAUGUCUGAAGUCAGCUGUGUAGGACUAUAUAUAAAAAAAAAAAAAAAUAGAUCUGUAUUGAUUUGAUAACAAGUUUAGA
Molecule: non-coding RNA, 3421 nt
Organism: Pelobates cultripes (western spadefoot toad)
Lineage: Eukaryota; Metazoa; Chordata; Amphibia; Anura; Pelobatidae
Source: the annotation of a GenBank genome assembly